UGGGUAACCUACCCUGUACACACGGAUAACAUACCGAAAGGUAUGCUAAUACGGGAUAAUAUAUUUGAGAGGCAUCUCUUGAAUAUCAAAGGUGAGCCAGUACAGGAUGGACCCGCGUCUGAUUAGCGAGUUGGUAAGGUAACGGCUUACCAAGGCGACGAUCAGUAGCCGACCUGAGAGGGUGAUCGGCCACAUUGGAACUGAGACACGGUCCAAACUCCUACGGGAGGCAGCAGUGGGGAAUAUUGCACAAUGGGCGAAAGCCUGAUGCAGCAACGCCGCGUGAGUGAUGAAGGCCUUCGGG
This 304-nucleotide ribosomal RNA is filed under the name Clostridioides difficile. Its description in RNAcentral is "bacterial SSU rRNA". It matches the Rfam family "Bacterial small subunit ribosomal RNA", at positions 118 to 422 of the family's 1533-position model. Lineage: Bacteria; Bacillati; Bacillota; Clostridia; Peptostreptococcales; Peptostreptococcaceae. The record is from RNAcentral.